This 159-nucleotide non-coding RNA is filed under the name Thermovirga lienii. Its description in RNAcentral is "GlcN6P sequence". It matches the Rfam family "glmS glucosamine-6-phosphate activated ribozyme aptamer". Rfam says of the family: This entry contains a glucosamine-6-phosphate activated ribozyme that is found in the mRNA for GlmS. GlmS is an enzyme that uses fructose-6-phosphate and glutamine to generate glucosamine-6-phosphate. RNAcentral also lists the same sequence under 1 other name. The record is from RNAcentral. Lineage: Bacteria; Thermotogati; Synergistota; Synergistia; Synergistales; Thermovirgaceae.
GAUGAGUUUUAAGCGCCUGGACUGGUAUAGGCCAGUUGACGAGGGCUGGGAUUUUCGAGGAUUCGGCGGGUGUCCCAGGGGUUGAGGAGAUCAGCCCAGAAAGCCGUUUUACAAAACCACGGAGUGAUCUGUGGGACAAAAAAAGCGGCAAUCUCCUUU